This 292-nucleotide ribosomal RNA is filed under the name uncultured eukaryote. RNAcentral's name for it is "partial 18S ribosomal RNA". It matches the Rfam family "Eukaryotic small subunit ribosomal RNA", at positions 6 to 290 of the family's 1831-position model. The record is from RNAcentral.
GGUUGAUCCUGCCAGUAGCAUAUGCUUGUCUCAAAGAUUAAGCCAUGCAUGUCUAAGUACACACGGGCGGUACAGUGAAACUGCGAAUGGCUCAUUAAAUCAGUUAUGGUUCCUUUGGUCGCUCCCCUCCCGUUACUUGGAUAACUGUGGUAAUUCUAGAGCUAAUACAUGCCGACGAGCGCCGACCUCCGGGGACGCGUGCAUUUAUCAGACCAAAACCAACCCGGGCUCGCCCGGCGGCUUUGGUGACUCUAGAUAACCUCGAGCCGAUCGCACGCCCCCGUGGCGGCGA